Molecule: microRNA, 22 nt
Filed under: Echinops telfairi (small Madagascar hedgehog)
Lineage: Eukaryota; Metazoa; Chordata; Mammalia; Afrosoricida; Tenrecidae
Description: Ete-Mir-1388_5p (mature (guide))
Source: RNAcentral
CGGACUGUCGCCCCUGAGAACG